UGAAACUACAUACACUCAUUCACAUUACAAUAGCCAGUUUAACCAACAAAUCUUGCAUACCCAGGAACUUCAAACUUCACCCGGAUAACCAAACAAUAUUCCACACAAUCACAAAUAUUGCAGUCUACAAAUAAAACGCUCUGCAAGUGUAAAAGAUGACUACUCUUGGAUACCAUGGAACAUGCUCUUCGACAUGGAAAGAAGUCAUCAACGAUGUUCUACCAACGG
This 228-nucleotide long non-coding RNA is filed under the name Hordeum vulgare. Its description in RNAcentral is "long non-coding RNA (HVUL_LNC020939)". The record is from RNAcentral. Lineage: Eukaryota; Viridiplantae; Streptophyta; Magnoliopsida; Poales; Poaceae.